This 439-nucleotide ribosomal RNA is filed under the name uncultured bacterium. RNAcentral's name for it is "partial 16S ribosomal RNA". It matches the Rfam family "Bacterial small subunit ribosomal RNA", at positions 339 to 795 of the family's 1533-position model. The record is from RNAcentral.
CUACGGGUUGCUCCAGUGGGGGAUAUUGCACAAUGGGCGAAAGCCUGAUGCAGCAACGCCGCGUGAAGGAAGACGGUUUUCGGAUUGUAAACUUCUAUCAGCAGGGAAGAAAAUGACUGUACCUGACUAAGAAGCCCCGGCUAACUACGUGCCAGCAGCCGCGGUAAUACGUAGGGGGCAAGCGUUAUCCGGAUUUACUGGGUGUAAAGGGUACGUAGGCGGUUUAUUAAGUCAGAUGUGAAAGCCCGGGGCUCAACCCCGGGGCUGCAUUUGAAACUGGUGAACUAGAGUACAGGAGAGGUAAGUGGAAUUCCUAGUGUAGCGGUGAAAUGCGUAGAUAUUAGGAAGAACACCAGUGGCGAAGGCGGCUUACUGGACUGUAACUGACGCUGAGGUACGAAAGCGUGGGGAGCGAACAGGAUUAGAUACCCUUGUAGUC